This 497-nucleotide ribosomal RNA is filed under the name uncultured bacterium. RNAcentral describes it as "partial 16S ribosomal RNA". It matches the Rfam family "Bacterial small subunit ribosomal RNA", at positions 28 to 507 of the family's 1533-position model. The record is from RNAcentral.
GAUGAACGCUGGCGGCGUGCCUAAUACAUGCAAGUCGAGCGAACGGACGAUAAGCUUGCUUCUCUGCUGUUAGCGGCGGACGGGUGAGUAACACGUGGAUAACCUACUUCUAAUACUGGGAUAACUUCGUGAAACCGGUUCUAAUACCGCAUCAUAUUUUGAACCGCAUGGUUCAAAAGUGAUAGACGGUCUUGCUGUUACUUAUAGAUGGAUCCGCGCUGCAUUAGCUAGUUGGUAAGGUAACGGCUUACCAAGGCGACGAUGCAUAGCCGACCUGAGAGGGUGAUCGGCCACACUGGAACUGAGACACGGUCCAGACUCCUACGGGAGGCAGCAGUAGGGAAUCUUCCGCAAUGGGCGAAAGCCUGACGGAGCAACGCCGCGUGAGUGAUGAAGGUCUUCGGAUCGUAAAACUCUGUUAUUAGGGAAGAACAGAUGUGUAAGUAACUGUGCACAUCUUGACGGUACCUAAUCAGAAAGCCACGGCUAACUACGUG